CUUCGGAUCUAGUGGCGCACGGGUGCGUAACGCGUGGGAAUCUGCCCCUUUGCUUCGGAAUAACAGUUAGAAAUGACUGCUAAUACCGGAUGAUGUCUUCGGACCAAAGAUUUAUCGGCAAAAGAUGAGCCCGCGUAGGAUUAGGUAGUUGGUGGGGUAAAGGCCUACCAAGCCGACGAUCCUUAGCUGGUCUGAGAGGAUGAUCAGCCACACUGGGACUGAGACACGGCCCAGACUCCUACGGGAGGCAGCAGUGGGGAAUAUUGGACAAUGGGCGAAAGCCUGAUCCAGCAAUGCCGCGUGAGUGAUGAAGGCCUUCGGGUCGUAAAGCUCUUUACCAGGGAUGAUAAUGACAGUACCUGGAGAAUAAGCUCCGGCUAACUCCGUG
This 388-nucleotide ribosomal RNA is filed under the name uncultured bacterium. RNAcentral's name for it is "bacterial SSU rRNA". It matches the Rfam family "Bacterial small subunit ribosomal RNA", at positions 84 to 507 of the family's 1533-position model. The record is from RNAcentral.